RNAcentral lists this transfer RNA (93 nucleotides) under Pholiota conissans. RNAcentral describes it as "tRNA-Ser". It matches the Rfam family "tRNA". From Rfam's summary of the family: Transfer RNA (tRNA) molecules are approximately 80 nucleotides in length. Their secondary structure includes four short double-helical elements and three loops (D, anti-codon, and T loops). Further hydrogen bonds mediate the characteristic L-shaped molecular structure. tRNAs have two regions of fundamental functional importance: the anti-codon, which is responsible for specific mRNA codon recognition, and the 3' end, to which the tRNAs corresponding amino acid is attached (by aminoacyl-tRNA synthetases). tRNAs cope with the degeneracy of the genetic code in two manners: having more than one tRNA (with a specific anti-codon) for a particular amino acid; and 'wobble' base-pairing, i.e. permitting non-standard base-pairing at the 3rd anti-codon position. The record is from RNAcentral. Lineage: Eukaryota; Fungi; Basidiomycota; Agaricomycetes; Agaricales; Strophariaceae.
GUCACUUUGCCGGAGUGGUUAACGGGAUCGCCUGCUAUCUAGCACACCAGCGGUUGGGCUUUGCCCGCGAGUGUUCGAAUCGCUCAGGUGACG